GAUGAACGCUGGCGGCGUGCCUAAUACAUGCAAGUCGAGCGAACAGAUGAGGAGCUUGCUCCUCUGACGUUAGCGGCGGACGGGUGAGUAACACGUGGAUAACCUACCUAUAAGACUGGGAUAACUUCGGGAAACCGGAGCUAAUACCGGAUAAUAUAUUGAACCGCAUGGUUCAAUAGUGAAAGACGGUUUUGCUGUCACUUAUAGAUGGAUCCGCGCCGCAUUAGCUAGUUGGUAAGGUAACGGCUUACCAAGGCCACGAUGCGUAGCCGACCUGAGAGGGUGAUCGGCCCCACUGGAACGGAGACACGGUCCUGACUACUACGGUAGGCAGCAGUAGUGAAUCUUCCGCGAUGGGCGAAAGCCUGACGGAGCAACGCCGCGUGAGUGAUGAAGGUCUUCCGAUCCUAAAACUCUGUUAUUAGUGAAGAACAAAUGUGUAAGUAACUAUGCACGUCUUGACGGUACCUAAUCAGAAAGCCACGGCUAACUACGUG
RNAcentral lists this ribosomal RNA (497 nucleotides) under uncultured bacterium. Its description in RNAcentral is "partial 16S ribosomal RNA". It matches the Rfam family "Bacterial small subunit ribosomal RNA", at positions 28 to 507 of the family's 1533-position model. The record is from RNAcentral.